UCACUCGCCGUUACUAAGGGAAUCCUUGUUAGUUUCUUUUCCUCCGCUUACUGAUAUGCUUAAGUUCAGCGGGUAAUCACGCCUGAUCUCAGGAUGUUGCAAACUGAUAUCUCAAUUCACCGCGCACAAUGCUUCCGCACGCACCCUUGCUAGGCAGCAGGAGCCGCACCGAACACGCAUUCACUAAUUAGUUACAGGCGCAUUUGGCACAGCCCAGGUGGGCGUACACACACACGAUACACGAUAAAGAUUCGGAAAGGAAUCGGCUAGCAACACUAGCAAUCCCUCACUUUGCAUUCCAUAGGAACAACUUUCUAGCUGCAACGGGCACCGCUACGCACGAAGCAAGCAGCACACGCCACGACAAGGCUUACAAGGCAGACAUCCUUGCAGAAGCACAGUACAGUACAGUCAUCCCUGAGACAGACGUGCCACCGAAUACACCCCGGCGGCGCCAUUUGCAUUCAACAUUUUAACACUCAUUGUUUCUGCAAUUCGUGUCACUUAUCGCAGCUAGCUGCGGUUUUCAUCGAUCCACAAGCCAAGUGAUCCACCACUGAUAGUUAUACUCUUUGCGUGCACAAGACACGACUUUGAACAUUCAAUAUUAUCUUCGGAUAGUAUGAGGUUUUGUGGGGUGCUGGCGCCGACCUGACAGACUGGCCGAUCUUUAAUGCUCGCUCAGCCGCCGCACACGCAGACGCGACAGAGCUCAAGCAAGACCUACUUCACGCCCCCCGGAUUAAGGGUGCGCUUCGGUGCUUGCUCAGCAACCAACUAAUCCGUACUUGCAACAAUCUACAGCCGUAUAUCAGACAAGAUACGAGAUCAAGCUCGACAAUGAUCCGCGGUCAGGUUCUCCUAAUCGCACCUUGUUACGACUUUUGCCCGGUUCAAGCCACUGCGAUUAAAGCGAUUUCCAUCACCGCAGGUUUUGACACCCUAGGCGACAGUCCUCGCGUUUCUCGAAGCAACUCAGUCCCGGGCAGCGACGGGCGGUGUGUACAAAGGGCAGGGACGUAAUCA
This 1026-nucleotide unclassified non-coding RNA is filed under the name Mononchoides macrospiculum. Its description in RNAcentral is "sequence contains 18S rRNA gene, ITS1, 5.8S rRNA gene, ITS2 and 28S rRNA gene". The record is from RNAcentral. Lineage: Eukaryota; Metazoa; Nematoda; Chromadorea; Rhabditida; Neodiplogasteridae.